Molecule: non-coding RNA, 632 nt
Organism: Onthophagus taurus
Lineage: Eukaryota; Metazoa; Arthropoda; Insecta; Coleoptera; Scarabaeidae
Source: RefSeq, a predicted model, not a curated record
UUAUAUUUGAAGCAAUUUCAAGUAAAUUUAAUCAAAAUAUUUUUAAAUUAUGGCUAAUAGUCGCUUGGAGAACAUUUAUACAAGAGCGAAAGCUUUAAUUGAUUCAGGAAUUCGUAAUUAAGUUGAUAGACUUCUUUAAUUCGAUGUUUACGAGGCUUUCCCUCCUAAAGAAGAGCCUUGGUUUGAUAAAAAAGUUCCUAAAUGCGAGUUAAAAAAGAUAUUUUAUCAGGAAGACGAAAUUAGGAGCUAAUAAUCGCUUGGAAAAGAUUUAUACAAGGUAAAUAACACUCCAAAUUUAUUCUUUUAUUAUAAACACUCAUUAAUUGUGGAGCGAAAGUUUUAAUUGAUUCAGGAGCUCGUAAUUAGGUUGAUAAACUUCUUUAGUUCGAUGUUUACGAGGCUUUCCCUCCUAAAAAAGAGCCUUGGUUUGAUAAAAAAGUUCCUAAAUGCGAGUUAAACAAGAUAUUUUAUCAGGAAGACGAAAUUAGGAGAUUAGGUUAUUUACGAUUUAAAAACAUUACAAGUUAAUAUGCUGCAUUAAUUGUGAUUAAUAACUCAAAAUAACGACGAGAACAUCCUUUUUUUAAUCUAUCUGAUCGCCAUCUAUUAAAUUAUUUUUGAAUUACAUCGAU